RNAcentral lists this ribosomal RNA (662 nucleotides) under uncultured bacterium. RNAcentral describes it as "bacterial SSU rRNA". It matches the Rfam family "Bacterial small subunit ribosomal RNA", at positions 139 to 794 of the family's 1533-position model. The record is from RNAcentral.
GAGGAUAACUCCGAGAAAUCGGGGCUAAUACUCGAUGAUGCAGCGGCACCGCAUGGUGACAGUUGUUAAAAGCCCGCAAGGGUGCCUAAAGAUGGGCCUGCGUCCCAUUAGGUAGUUGGUGAGGUAACGGCCCACCAAGCCUACGAUGGGUAGCUGGUCUGAGAGGAUGAUCAGCCACACUGGAACUGAGAUACGGUCCAGACUCCUACGGGAGGCAGCAGUGAGGAAUAUUGCGCAAUGUCCGAAAGGGUGACGCAGCGACGCCGCGUGGAGGAUGAAGGCCCUAUGGGUCGUAAACUCCUUUUGAGAGGGAAGAAUAGUCUCGUAUAGCGAGAUUUGACGGUACCUCUAGAAAAAGCACCGGCCAACUACGUGCCAGCAGCCGCGGUAAUACGUAGGGUGCAAGCGUUGUCCGGAUUUACUGGGUGUAAAGGGAGCGCAGGCGGGUUAGCAAGUCGUUGGUGAAAUUCUGAGGCUCAACCUCAGAACUGCCAAUGAUACUGCUGAUCUUGAGUACAGAAGAGGAAGACGGAAUUCCUGGUGUAGCGGUGAAAUGCGUAGAUAUCAGGAAGAACACCGGUGGCGAAGGCGGUCUUCUGGUCUGUAACUGACGCUCAUGCUCGAAAGCGUGGGGAGCAAACAGGAUUAGAUACCCUGGUAGU